GGAGGAGGCGUGAGGUAUACUCCCGAUGACUACCGCAGAAGAAGCACCGCUAACUCCGGCCAGCAGCGCGUAUACGGAGGGUGCAAGCGUUAUCGGAAUUACUGGCGUAAAGCGCACGCAGGCCGUCUGUUAAGUCAGAUGUGAAAUUCCCCGGGCUUAACCUGGGAACUGCAUUUGAAACUGGCAGGCUUGAGUCUCGUAGAGGGGGGUAGAAUUCCAGGUGUAGCGGUGAAAUGCGUAGAGAUCUGGAGGAAUACCGGUGGCGAAGGCGGCCCCCUGGACGAAGACUGACGCUCAGGUGCGAAAGCGUGGGGAGCAAACAGGAUUAGAUACCCUGGUAGUCCACGCCGUAAACGAUGUCGACUUGGAGGUUGUGCCCUUGAGGCGUGGCUUCCGGAGCUAACGCGUUAAGUCGACCGCCUGGGGAGUACGGCCGCAAGGUUAAAACUCAAAUGAAUUGACGGGGGCCCGCACAAGCGGUGGAGCAUGUGGUUUAAUUCGAUGCAACGCGAAGAACCUUACCUGGCCUUGACAUCCAGAGAACUUAGCAGAGAUGCUUUGGUGCCUUCGGGAACUCUGAGACAGGUGCUGCAUGGCUGUCGUCAGCUCGUGUUGUGAAAUGUUGGGUUAAGUCCCGCAACGGGCGCAACCCUUAUCCUUUGUUGCCAGCGGUUCGGCCGGGAACUCAAAGGAGACUGCCGGUGAUAAACCGGAGGAAGGUGGGGAUGGCGUCAAGUCAUCAUGGCCCUUACGGCCAGGGCUACACACGUGCUACAAUGGCGCAUACAAAGAGAAGCGACCUCGCGAGAGCAAGCGGACCUCAUAAAGUGCGUCGUAGUCCGGAUUGGAGUCUGCAACUCGACUCCAUGAAGUCGGAAUCGCUAGUAAUCGUAGAUCAGAAUGCUACGGUGAAUACGUUCCCGGGCCUUGUACACACCGCCC
This 942-nucleotide ribosomal RNA is filed under the name uncultured bacterium. Its description in RNAcentral is "bacterial SSU rRNA". It matches the Rfam family "Bacterial small subunit ribosomal RNA", at positions 443 to 1395 of the family's 1533-position model. The record is from RNAcentral.